UUGACGUGGAGGUUAAGGGAAGAAAGAAAAAAGGCACCCUUAGAGAGGUUGUGCGGUAAAAAAAACAACCUUUUAAUCUUAGAGCAUGCCACCUUUUUUUUACUUGGUUUUUGUCACACAAAAAAUCAUCUAUUUUCUUACAUGCCAUGUUAGAUAAAAAUCUAAUUUAAAUCAGAUCUUAUCUAUAUCUAGAAAGAGAGGAGAAGGGGCGGCA
RNAcentral lists this long non-coding RNA (214 nucleotides) under Elaeis guineensis (African oil palm). RNAcentral describes it as "long non-coding RNA (EGUI_LNC057991)". The record is from RNAcentral. Lineage: Eukaryota; Viridiplantae; Streptophyta; Magnoliopsida; Arecales; Arecaceae.